Molecule: unclassified non-coding RNA, 203 nt
Filed under: uncultured fungus
Lineage: Eukaryota; Fungi
Description: partial contains 18S rRNA, ITS1, 5.8S rRNA, ITS2 and 28S rRNA
Source: RNAcentral
AAGGAUCAUUAUCGAUUCUUUAAGGAUGUGCUGGCUUCUUACUUAAGAAGCACUUGUGCACUCUGAAAACCAUUUCAUUCACCUGUGCACCCUAUUGUAGACAGGGAGAAAUCCUUUGUCUAUGAUUUUUUCAUUCACACAUGUUUUAUUGGUAUUAUGAAAAAUAAACAAUACAACUUUCAACAAUGGAUCUCUUGGUUCUC